UUUGAUCCUGGCUCAGAUUGAACGCUGGCGGUAUGCCUAACACAUGCAAGUCGAACGGUAACAGAGGAAAGCUUGCUUUCUUGCUGACGAGUGGCGGACGGGUGAGUAACGCGUGGGAAUCUACCCAGUAGUUGGGGAUAGCCCGGAGAAAUCCGGAUUAAUACCGAAUACGGUCUACGGACGAAAAGGUGCCUCUUCUUGAAAGCACUUGCUACUGGAUGAGCCCGCGUUAGAUUAGUUUGUUGGUGGGGUAACGGCCUACCAAGACUGCGAUCUAUAGCUGGUUUGAGAGGAUGAUCAGCCACAUUGGGACUGAGACACGGCCCAGACUCCUACGGGAGGCAGCAGUGGGGAAUAUUGGACAAUGGGCGCAAGCCUGAUCCAGCAAUACCGCGUGUGUGAAGAAGGCCUUAGGGUUGUAAAGCACUUUUAUGUAGGAAGAAGUGUUGUGAGUUAAUAGCUCAUGACUUUGACGGUACUACAAGAAUAAGCACCGGCUAACUCCGUGCCAGCAGCCGCGGUAAUA
RNAcentral lists this ribosomal RNA (526 nucleotides) under uncultured bacterium. RNAcentral describes it as "bacterial SSU rRNA". It matches the Rfam family "Bacterial small subunit ribosomal RNA", at positions 12 to 525 of the family's 1533-position model. The record is from RNAcentral.